This 286-nucleotide long non-coding RNA is filed under the name Trifolium pratense (red clover). Its description in RNAcentral is "long non-coding RNA (TPRA_LNC010815)". Lineage: Eukaryota; Viridiplantae; Streptophyta; Magnoliopsida; Fabales; Fabaceae. The record is from RNAcentral.
CUACACAAAGCACUUUUAAUAAAUAAUUGAGCUUUAGUAUUUAGAAGUACCCUAUCUGCUUCUUGAGUUGUCAUUUCAUCUUUUGUCUUUCGAGUAGUAGAGUCUUUUACUAAUGGAGUAUAGUCACCAACUUCAAUCACUGUCCACAUGUGCGUAUCUUGUGAUCUAAGAAAUAGUUCCAUCUUGUCUUUCCAAUAGUAGUAGUCAUCUCCUUCAAAUAGUGGUGGCCUAUGUGAAGAUCCUCCUUCUAAUAUAAACUUUGCGCUUUUAUUCAUUACUUCCUUCC